UGCUUACAGUCAUGCUAUUUUUACUGCAGUGAAAGCAAAGGAAGGCAUGCAAGGCUGUGAGCACAGAUGCAGAAGGAGAUUAAGAGGGGACAAGGACUGCCAGGUUCCCCAUAGCAGCGAUGCUGAUGGUGGGCACUGCAUCUCUGGGCAGUGCCGCUCCUCAGUCCCGAGAAUCCGGAGCCCGUGCCAGGAAACAGAGAAAGGGAAGUGGCUGUGCGGCCCUGUUCUUUGGGUGUCUUGGCUUUAAAUGCUAUUUCUCCUCUUGCCUGGACAAGAGGAGUUCCAAUGGGCUGCAGUAAAACUCCAGUUUCACGUUGCUAACUUCAGAAAUCUAUGAAGAGAAAAAAAAAUGAAGACAACCAACCAACCCAACCUUCUGUAUUAGCUACUCUGUUUCAUUUGCAAUGACUUCAGAUGUGGAAUUAUUAAUACUAAUGAAUUUCACAGGCUGCACUUUGGCCCAUGAAUUUGCACCAGUUCACGCUUUGGAAGGGCAGUCACUUAAGUACUAGCAGACCCAGUCUUGGAGUAUCACUGUCACCCAGCUGGGCACUUGGCUGCUGACACACAGCCAACACAUGUCACCUGGCCACACUGC
RNAcentral lists this long non-coding RNA (598 nucleotides) under Chrysolophus pictus (golden pheasant). Its description in RNAcentral is "lncRNA (ENSCPIG00010007954.1)". Lineage: Eukaryota; Metazoa; Chordata; Aves; Galliformes; Phasianidae. The record is from RNAcentral.